Molecule: ribosomal RNA, 510 nt
Filed under: uncultured bacterium
Lineage: Bacteria
Description: partial 16S ribosomal RNA
Rfam family: Bacterial small subunit ribosomal RNA
Source: RNAcentral
GACGAACGCUGGCGGCGUGCCUAACACAUGCAAGUCGAACGAAGAGCGAUGGACGCUUGUUUCUAUCACUCUUAGUGGCGAUCGGGUGAGGAACGCGAACUCAACCUGACCUUCAGUGGGGGCCAACAGUUGGAAACGACUGCUAAUACUGCAUACGAUCUAAUCUCGGUAUCGAGGAUAGAUGAAAGGUGGGCUCCACUUGUACGCCAACAAUGUAGGCGUGGAUUGCGUCUGAUUAGCUAGUUGGUGGGGUAACGGCCCACCAAGGCGAUGAUACGUAGCCGGUCUGAGAGGAUGAACGGCCACAUUGGGACUGAGACACGGCCCAGACUCCUACGGGAGGCAGCAGUAGGGAAUCUUCCGCAAUGGACGAAAGUCUGACCGAGCAACGCCGCGUGAGUGAUGAAGGCCUUCGGGUUGUAAAGCUCUGUUGAUCGGGACGAAAGGCCUUCUUGCGAAUAAGGAGAAGGAUUGACGGUACCGGAACAGAAAGCCACGGCUAACUACGUG